This is a long non-coding RNA of Phyllostomus discolor (pale spear-nosed bat), 2597 nucleotides long. RefSeq lists it as uncharacterized. Lineage: Eukaryota; Metazoa; Chordata; Mammalia; Chiroptera; Phyllostomidae. The record is from RefSeq and is a predicted model, not a curated record. The transcript is spliced from 2 exons.
AAUAAAAUCUCUAAAAAAAUUUUUAAAAACAAUAACAACAUUAUUCACAGCUCUGGAAACCAUAGGUCUAAGGUCAAGGUGCCCCCAGGGCUGCAUUCCCUUGUGGAGGCUCUGGGGGGACUCCGUCCCUUGCCUUUGCCUCUUCCAGCGACUGGUGGCUGCUGGCUUUCCCUGACUUGUGUCGGUGUCACUCCAGUCUCUGCCUCUGUCUUCACAUUGUCUGCUUUUCGCUGAGUGUGUCUUAUCCUUUCCGCUCCUCUCUUAUAAGGCUACUUGUGAUGGCAUUCAGGGCCCACCAGGGCAAUCGGGAUGAUUUUAUCUUAAAAUCCUUAACUUAUUCACAUCUGCAAAAAUUACCACAUAAGAUAAUAGUCACAGGUUCCAGGGGACUCAUGUCCUUGGGAGUCACCACUCAGCCCACACUACACACAGUUAGGAAAUAAAAUUCCUUGGGAACCUAUACAUCUUAUGAGAAAGUGUUUUAGUCCCUUCACUUGUCUGUGUCCUGUUCUGAUGACCUACCAACUAUUAGUUAUAAGUGCUUUCGGAGGUCCAGAGCUCACACAGAGUAGCUGGAAUGGUCAGUCUCAUCAGUGACAACUAACAUAUUUGUGUAAUUCAAUACUCACGUUAAAAAUAUCAACUUAACAAUGUUAUAGGCAAAAAAAAGAGCUCGCUGAUGUGAAGUUUCACUGAAAUGAUGCAAAGAAAAGAUGGUAAUUAAAUAUCACUGUUUCUCAAAGUAAAAGAAACCUUUGUGUUAACCCUUUCUUUUAUGAGUCACUUAUGCCAGUUUCAUCAAACGCCUAAAAAAGUACGUUUAGCACCUGGAUGUAUGAAAGGUCUGUAUAAUGGUUUUCAUCAGGCAGUUGUUUUAAAGUUCAGAUUCCACUCCUCAUCCUCCACAACUAUUGAUAUAUCCUAAUUUAUUUAUAACUCACUCCCUGAUAACCUCCAAAAAUAAUCUGACAUGGCUUCUUAUGAAAAACAUACACGAUUAGAAACAAAAUGUCAAACAAUUAUUGAGGGAAAAGGAAAUAAAUAUGCCUUCCAAAUCUACACUAAUUAUUCAUUGAAAAUGGGUACUCAUAUCAAUAAUGAGUGCUUACUUCUAAGCCUCCCGGCAGCCGAGGCAGACAGGAUCUCCAAUAGCAAACCAUAAUGCUCACUGUUUAGUGUUUGCUGCUUCCCCAUCUCACCCUGAGGUUGGUGUAGAAAUGUUGGUGACCACCUCCAGUCUUCGCUAUUGUCUCCAGAAACAAAGUUAACUUUGAUUUACAUUGCAUGGACUCUUCCAAUUUUUAUAUACUACACAGCAUUUGCUUGAGUAAUUUUGGGGCCUGGUUUUAGAUUGUAUACCACAAUGUUGAAAUCAAUCUGUGGCAGUAAGUGCUAAGACUAAACAAGACUGUCCUCCUCAUCCUUUACCUGUGAGCAUUUUGUUAAGAUUGGUACUUUUCUUGAAGGUUGUUCCUUAUCUCCAGCUGAAUCCCAUGAACUGACUCAGGGCACAUUUUGAGUAAAUCUUAUGAUCUGGAGACUCUAACCACGUCUACGUACCACGUUCAUGAAUAUUAUACUGGCAGUGGUUUUAUUCAACCAUUGCUUAACUGAAAAUCUAUUGACCAAGAAAACCUGAGAAAGCAUUCCAUAGGUGGUCUGAAUUUAAGGCAAAUGUGGGCAGUGAUUAGACCAAUUAUAGGUAAAUGGCUAAGAAAGCUGUGACUGUGUGCGUGAGUUGAAUUAUUAUUAAACAUGAAUGAGCUAGCACAGUUGGAGAUUUAGACAUUUACGUGGGUUUAAUGUCAUUUUACAUAGCUGAACCAAAUUAAAACAAUAUUUUGUGUGAGGAUUAAACUUUCUUAAGGUUGAAUACUGUGGGGAUUUGGCAUAACAGAGUACUAAUUUUCAGCCCAAGUAGUUCACAUCUCUUUUGAGAUUCUUAUUGUUACUUGUGGCUAGUUCAGCAUGUGAGACCGUAAAGCAGUGAAUUCUGCUUUCUUCCUGGACACAGGCUUUGCCCCUAAAUCCUCUGGUCUGUUUCAAGUUGUGUAUCUCUGCUCCCAGGCUGAACUAGGCAAAAGAUGUUGAUGGAUCAUCAUUUCUAGAAAAGCAUCUCAAAGCAUAUUUCACAUGGACAGUUGGUUAACACAGUAAUUUUUUGUUUUAUAGGAAGCAGUACAGCCUAAAAUCACAAACUGGUGGGCUACCUAUGAGGACAUGCUCUGGCUUAAUGACUCUCUGGGUAUUUUCGGUAGAAGAGUUUGGGUUUGAAAGAAAAAUUUAUUUCAGAGGAAUGGAAAUUCUUAGGGUUUAAUUAUUUAUUUAUUAAGAGCUCAGCUCUGGCUCAAGUGCAGGACUGUUUAAGUUCAAAUUCUAACUUCUCCAUUUACCAUCUGUAUGUCCUUGGUCAAGUUACUCUUCCAAUGAUCAGUUUACUCAUCUAUAAAAUGGACAUAAUGAAAGGACCGCAAUUUACUGGGUUUUGACUGGAAUUAAAUGUACUCAUUUGUAUAAGGCAGUGAUUAGCCCAAUGUCUGGCAUAUUAUAAACUCUCAAAGGUAUUAGCUUCUUUUGUAAUUUUUAAGUUAAUGCCA